UCAAGCCUACGGGGGGCAGCAGUGAGGAAUAUUGGUCAAUGGGCGGAAGCCUGAACCAGCCAAGUCGCGUGGGGGAAGAAGGCCCUGCGGGUCGCAGACCUCUUUGGACGGGGAGCAAGGCCGCCGACGUGUCGGCGGAAGGAGAGUACCCGUAGAACAAGCAUCGGCUAACUCCGUGCCAGCAGCCGCGGUAAUACGGAGGAUGCGAGCGUUAUCCGGAUUUAUUGGGUUUAAAGGGUGCGUAGGCGGUCCGGAAAGUCAGCGGUAAAAGCCCGGGGCUCAACCCCGGCGAGCCGUUGAAACUG
This 305-nucleotide ribosomal RNA is filed under the name uncultured bacterium. RNAcentral's name for it is "bacterial SSU rRNA". It matches the Rfam family "Bacterial small subunit ribosomal RNA", at positions 333 to 635 of the family's 1533-position model. The record is from RNAcentral.